GGGCCCGCACAAGCGGAGGAACAUGUGGUUUAAUUCGAUGAUACGCGAGGAACCUUACCCGGGCUCGAACGGUAGAUGAAUGAUCUGGAAACAGACAGUCCUUCGGGACAUCUAUCGAGGUGCUGCAUGGUUGUCGUCAGCUCGUGCCGUGAGGUGUCGGCUUAAGUGCCAUAACGAGCGCAACCCUUAUCUUUAGUUACCAUCAGGUUAAGCUGGGGACUCUAGAGAGACUGCCACCGUAAGGUGUGAGGAAGGUGGGGAUGACGUCAAAUCAGCACGGCCCUUACGUCCGGGUCGACACACGUGUUACAAUGGGGGGGACAGAAGGUUGCCACUUGGUGACAAGGAGCUAAUCCCCCAAACCCUCUCCCAGUUCGGAUUGGAGUCUGCAACUCGACUCCAUGAAGCUGGAUUCGCUAGUAAUCGCGCAUCAGCCAUGGCG
This 442-nucleotide ribosomal RNA is filed under the name uncultured Bacteroidota bacterium. RNAcentral describes it as "bacterial SSU rRNA". It matches the Rfam family "Bacterial small subunit ribosomal RNA", at positions 917 to 1359 of the family's 1533-position model. Lineage: Bacteria; Pseudomonadati; Bacteroidota. The record is from RNAcentral.